GGCUGCAUGAAGAUGAGCACUCAAAGAUGUUUCUAAAGACCAUAUACAGGAAUGUGCUGGAUGACGUCUAUGAAUAUCCGAUCCUUGAGAAAGAGCUGAAGGAGUUUCAGAAGAUACUGGGCAUGCACCGCCGUCACACUGCUUGCCCUAUACUCACCACAGAAGAAGAAUAAAGCCCUCUUCCAUCAAUUCAGUCUUAAGGAGAACUGGCUCCAGCAUAGAGGAACUGUGGCCGAAACAGAGGAAAUUUUUUGCCACGUGUAUGUGACGGAGCACUCCUACAUCAGUGUGAAGGCAAAAGUUUCUAGUACAGCCCAGGAGAUCCUGAAGGUUGUGGCCGAGAAGCUGCAGCGUGCCGAAGAGGAUCUGGCUCUGGUGGCCAUUAUGUUCUCU
This 393-nucleotide long non-coding RNA is filed under the name Rattus norvegicus (Norway rat). Its description in RNAcentral is "long non-coding RNA NONRATT024736". The record is from RNAcentral. Lineage: Eukaryota; Metazoa; Chordata; Mammalia; Rodentia; Muridae.